UACGUUCCCGGGCCUUGUACACACCGCCCGUCACACCACGAGAGUUUGUAACACCCGAAGUCGGUGGGGUAACCUUUUUGGAGCCAGCCGCCUAAGGUGGGACAGAUGAUUGGGGUGAAGUCGUAACAAGGUAGCCGUAUCGGAAGGUGCGGCUGGAUCACCUCCUUUCUAUGGAGA
This 177-nucleotide ribosomal RNA is filed under the name Lysinibacillus sp. VIA-II-2016. Its description in RNAcentral is "partial 16S ribosomal RNA". It matches the Rfam family "Bacterial small subunit ribosomal RNA", at positions 1367 to 1533 of the family's 1533-position model. The record is from RNAcentral. Lineage: Bacteria; Bacillati; Bacillota; Bacilli; Caryophanales; Bacillaceae.